This 253-nucleotide ribosomal RNA is filed under the name uncultured bacterium. Its description in RNAcentral is "partial 16S ribosomal RNA". It matches the Rfam family "Bacterial small subunit ribosomal RNA", at positions 524 to 776 of the family's 1533-position model. The record is from RNAcentral.
UACGGAGGGUGCAAGCAUUGAUCGGAAUUACUGGGCGUAAAGGGCGCGUAGGCGGCAAAAUAAGUCAGAUGUGAAAUUCCGGGGCUCAACCCCGGAGCUGCAUUUGAAACUAUUUAGCUAGAGUACAGUUAGGGUAAACGGAAUUCCACGUGUAGCGGUGAAAUGCGUAGAUAUGUGGAAGAACACCGGUGGUGAAGACGGUUUACUGGGCUGUAACUGACGCUGAGGCGCGAAAGCGUGGGGAGCAAACAGG